RNAcentral lists this transfer RNA (62 nucleotides) under Lycorma delicatula (spotted lanternfly). Its description in RNAcentral is "tRNA-Pro". Lineage: Eukaryota; Metazoa; Arthropoda; Insecta; Hemiptera; Fulgoridae. The record is from RNAcentral. RNAcentral also lists the same sequence under 1 other name.
CAGUAAGUAUUUUAAUAUAAAAUAUUAGUUUUGGAUACUAAAGAUGAUUUUUUCUUUACUGA